GAUGAACGCUGGCGGCGUGCUUAACACAUGCAAGUCGAACGAUGAAGCCCAGCUUGCUGGGUGGAUUAGUGGCGAACGGGUGAGUAACACGUGAGUAACCUGCCCUUAACUCUGGGAUAAGCCUGGGAAACUGGGUCUAAUACCGGAUAGGAGCGUCCACCGCACGUGGGGUGUUGGGAAGAUUUAUCGGUUUUGGAUGGACUCGCGGCCUAUCAGCUUGUUGGUGGGGUAUUGGCUCACCAAGGCGACGACGGGUAGCCGGCCUGAGAGGGUGACCGGCCACACUGGGACUGAGACACGGCCCAGACUCCUACGGGAGGCAGCAGUGGGGAAUAUUGCACAAUGGGCGCAAGCCUGAUGCAGCGACGCCGCGUGAGGGAUGACGGCCUUCGGGUUGUAAACCUCUUUCAGUAGGGAAGAAGCGAAAGUGACGGUAACUGCAGAAGAAGCACCGGCUAACUACGUG
This 466-nucleotide ribosomal RNA is filed under the name uncultured bacterium. RNAcentral describes it as "partial 16S ribosomal RNA". It matches the Rfam family "Bacterial small subunit ribosomal RNA", at positions 28 to 507 of the family's 1533-position model. The record is from RNAcentral.